AAGUCGGGCCUGCCCACUGAGUAAUAGAAGGGCCGCGUUAUUUAGACCGUGCAAAGGUAGCAUAAUCAAUAGUCUUUUAAUUGAAGGCUGGAAUGAAUGGUUUGACGAAUUAUUAACUGUCUCUUUAUAUUGUGUUGAAUUUAUCUUUAGAGUUAAUAGACUAAAAUAUUAUUAUGGGACGAGAAGACCCUAUAGAGCUUUAUAUAGUUAUAAGAUAAAUGUAUUUGAAGUUAGAUUUUAUGCUUUUUGUAACUGUAUUAUGUUGGGGAGACAUAAAGAUAUAAGAAACUCUUUAUUUAUAUUUACAUUUAUUUAUGGUUACAUGAUCCAGUAUUAUAGAUUGAAAGAUAAAGUUACCUUAGGGAUAACAGCGUUUCCACUUGAGAGUUCAUAUCGAAAGAGGAGUUUGCGACCUCGAUGUUGGACUAAGAAAAAGAUUAAAUGUAGCAGUUAUGUUAAUAAGUCUGUUCGACUUUAUAAUUCUUAC
This 487-nucleotide ribosomal RNA is filed under the name Afroagraecia pwania. Its description in RNAcentral is "partial 16S ribosomal RNA". It matches the Rfam family "Bacterial large subunit ribosomal RNA", at positions 1850 to 2599 of the family's 2925-position model. Lineage: Eukaryota; Metazoa; Arthropoda; Insecta; Orthoptera; Tettigoniidae. The record is from RNAcentral.